CCUACGGGUGGCUGCAGUGGGGAAUAUUGGGCAAUGGGCGCAAGCCUGACCCAGCAACGCCGCGUGAAGGAAGAAGGCUCUCGGGUUGUAAACUUCUUUUAUCAGGGACGAAGCAAGUGACGGUACCUGAUGACUAAGCCACGGCUAACUCCGUGCCAGCAGCCGCGGUAAUACGUAGGGGGCAAGCGUUAUCCGGAUUUACUGGGUGUAAAGGGCGUGUAGGCGGGAAAGCAAGUCAGAUGUGAAAACCAUGCGCUUAACCUGUGGCCUGCAUUUGAAACUGUUGUUCUUGAGUACUGGAGAGGCAGACGGAAUUCCUGGUGUAGCGGUGAAAUGCGUAGAUAUUAGGACGAACACCAGUGGCGAAGGCAGUCUGCUGGGCAGCAACUGACGCUGAGGCGCGAAAGCGUGGGGAGCAAACAGGAUUAGAUACCCCUGUAGUC
Molecule: ribosomal RNA, 443 nt
Filed under: uncultured bacterium
Lineage: Bacteria
Description: partial 16S ribosomal RNA
Rfam family: Bacterial small subunit ribosomal RNA
Source: RNAcentral